GACGAACGCUGGCGGCGUGCUUAACACAUGCAAGUCGAACGAUGAAGAAAAGAAUUGCAGCUUCGGCAGAAAUUCAUUUCGGAUUAGUGGCAGACGGGUGAGUAACGCGUGAGCAACCUACCUCUUACAAAGGGAUAGCCUCGGGAAACCGGGAUUAAUACCAUAUAACAUUGCGACGAAGCAUUUCGAUGCAAUCAAAGCUACGGCGGUAAGAGAUGGGCUCGCGUCCCAUUAACCAGAUGGUGAGGUAACGGCUCACCAUAGUAACGAUGGGUAACCGGACUGUGAGGGUGAACGGUCACACUGGAACUGAGACACGGUCCAGACUCCUACGGGAGGCAGCAGUGGGGAAUAUUGCACAAUGGAGGGAACUCUGAUGCAGCGACGCCGCGUGAGUGAUGAAGGAAUUCGUUUCGUAAAACUCUGUUCUAUGGGAAGAAAAGGACUGUACCAUAGGAGAAAGCUCCGGCUAAAUACGUG
This 480-nucleotide ribosomal RNA is filed under the name uncultured bacterium. Its description in RNAcentral is "partial 16S ribosomal RNA". It matches the Rfam family "Bacterial small subunit ribosomal RNA", at positions 28 to 507 of the family's 1533-position model. The record is from RNAcentral.